RNAcentral lists this ribosomal RNA (253 nucleotides) under uncultured bacterium. RNAcentral describes it as "partial 16S ribosomal RNA". It matches the Rfam family "Bacterial small subunit ribosomal RNA", at positions 524 to 776 of the family's 1533-position model. The record is from RNAcentral.
UACGUAGGGUGCGAGCGUUGUCCGGAAUUAUUGGGCGUAAAGAGCUUGUAGGCGGCCUGUUACGUCUGCUGUGAAAGCCCGGGGCUCAACUCCGGGUCUGCAGUGGAUACGGGCAGGCUAGAGUCCGGCAGGGGAGACUGGAAUUCCUGGUGUAGCGGUGAAAUGCGCAGAUAUCAGGAGGAACACCGGUGGCGAAGGCGGGUCUCUGGGCCGGUACUGACGCUGAGGAGCGAGAGCGUGGGGAGCGAACAGG